CUUGCUCCUGGUGGCGAGUGGCGAACGGGUGAGUAAUACAUCGGAACGCGUCCUGUAAUGGGGGAUAACCUAGCGAAAGUUAGGCUAAUACCGCAUACGUCCUACGGGAGAAAGCGGGGGAUCGCAAGACCUCGCGUUAUAGGAGUGGCCGAUGUCGGAUUAGCUAGUUGGUGGGGUAAAGGCCUACCAAGGCGACGAUCCGUAGCUGGUCUGAGAGGACGACCAGCCACACUGGAACUGAGACACGGUCCAGACUCCUACGGGAGGCAGCAGUGGGGAAUUUUGGACAAUGGGGGCAACCCUGAUCCAGCCAUUCCGCGUGAGUGAAGAAGGCCUUCGGGUUGUAAAGCUCUUUCGGCUGGGAAGAAAUCGCAUGGGUUAAUACCUUGUGCGGAUGACGGUACCGGAAGAAGAAGCACCGGCUAACUACGUGCCAGCAGCCGCGGUAAUACGUAGGGUGCGAGCGUUAAUCGGAAUUACUGGGCGUAAAGCGUGCGCAGGCGGUUAUGUAAGACAGAUGUGAAAUCCCCGGGCUUAACCUGGGAACUGCGUUUGUGACUGCAUAACUAAAGUGCGGCAGAGGGGGGUGGAAUUCCACGUGUAGCAGUG
This 609-nucleotide ribosomal RNA is filed under the name uncultured bacterium. Its description in RNAcentral is "bacterial SSU rRNA". It matches the Rfam family "Bacterial small subunit ribosomal RNA", at positions 79 to 683 of the family's 1533-position model. The record is from RNAcentral.